Molecule: non-coding RNA, 777 nt
Organism: Podarcis muralis (Common wall lizard)
Lineage: Eukaryota; Metazoa; Chordata; Lepidosauria; Squamata; Lacertidae
Source: RefSeq, a predicted model, not a curated record
CUUGUAAACAUUUAUGUCAUCAGAAGCAAAUGUUUCCUUCCUGGCAAGCAUUUCCUUCCCCCGUUAGGACCUCCAUCCCUCUCAUUUUGCCUCCUCCUUCCCAUUUGUAUAAAAGGGGGCAUGGGAUACUCCACAGACUUACAGGAGGGACACCAGAGCUCUUUCCUGCACGCCCCAAUAAGAGUUUGCCAGCAACUCAUUGAAAAACCAAGAUGAAAAUCCUCUUGAGCCUGACUGCCUUGUCUUUGACACUUGCCUUGUAUCAGGGAACCUGCAUAUUUCGCGAGCCCAAAGAAGAGAUUAAAGAUGAAAAUCCUCUUGAGCCUGACUGCCUUGUCUUUGACACUUGCCUUGUGUCAGGGAACCUGCAGAUUCAGCGAGCACAAAGAAGAGAUUAAAGAUGGUAAGCCGGUGCUGCCCACUGAGUGUACUGAUCCCAUGAAUGGGAGCAAGCAUCCAUUAAGCUCCAAGUGGAAUACACCGAAUUGCAUGGAAUGCGUAUGUAAUGAAAAGGGAAUGCUGUGCUGUUCCAGGCACUUUGAUCUUGUCGAACGUCAAGGAUGUAAAGCAAUGUUCCAUCCAAUCAAAUGUGAAUAUGUGUACUAUAAACUAGGGUAUGAUCGCUACAUACCCUGUCCCUGAGCUUUACAAAUCCCACCCAAAUUCCUUUCAUGUAAAAGAAUCUGAUUAAAUCAGUCAUAUGUGCAUUUCAGUGUGUAUCUGUUGUCUUUGCUUGAUAUCACUACUUGCAGAAUUUGGUACAUAUCAUAAUGAAAG